UCUCCCUGCAUCAAACCUCAUCACUACAAACCAUUUCAUGACACUCAUGGCAACAAUGAACUUUUUUCCUUACAAAAUCUUCAAGCUACGCACUAAAGUGUAAGAGCCUGAGUUCAUGUGUGAAGUUGAGAUGUUUUGGCUAGAAAUGGUCGGUCUCACCUCAAUGCAUGUCAGAGCCUGGUCCGCAUUGCUGGCAGUAAGUGGGGCUCGUUUCCAGUGAGGGUUGGACUCCGCCAGGGCUGCCCUUUGUCACCGAUUCUGCGAUGUUUUUCAGAAAUUUCACACAAU
This is a long non-coding RNA of Xiphophorus hellerii (green swordtail), 288 nucleotides long. RefSeq lists it as uncharacterized. The record is from RefSeq and is a predicted model, not a curated record. Lineage: Eukaryota; Metazoa; Chordata; Actinopteri; Cyprinodontiformes; Poeciliidae. The transcript is spliced from 5 exons.